CAGCCGCCGCGGUAAUACGGAGGGCGCGAGCGUUGUCCGGAUUCACUGGGCGUAAAGCGUCCGUAGCCGGGUUGGGAAGUCCUCCGGGAAAUCUGGCCGCUUAACGGUCAGAAUGCCGGAGGAUACUCCCAGCCUAGGGAGCGGGAGAGGCCGAGGGUAUUCCCGGAGUAGGGGUGAAAUCCUAUAAUCCCGGGAGGACCACCUGUGGCGAAGGCGCUCGGCUGGAACGCGUCCGACGGUGAGGGACGAAGGCCAGGGGAGCAAACCGGAUUAGAUACCCGGGUAGUCCUGGCUGUAAACGAUGCGGACUUUGUGUCGGACAAGCUAUGAGCUUGUCCGGUGCCGGAGGGAAACCGUUAAGUCCGCCGCCUGGGGAGUACGGCCGCAAGGCUGAAACUUGAAGGAAUUGGCGGG
Molecule: ribosomal RNA, 414 nt
Filed under: uncultured microorganism
Description: bacterial SSU rRNA
Rfam family: Archaeal small subunit ribosomal RNA
Source: RNAcentral